This 241-nucleotide unclassified non-coding RNA is filed under the name plant metagenome. Its description in RNAcentral is "partial contains small subunit ribosomal RNA, internal transcribed spacer 1, and 5.8S ribosomal RNA". The record is from RNAcentral.
UUUCCGUAGGUGAACCUGCGGAAGGAUCAUUAAUAAAAUUCAUAUUAGUCCCAUAUCUUAUAUGGUCUAAUAAAGUUUCCAUCAUAAACCCAUUUAAACUUUUUUGUCUGAAGAAAAAAAUUUAUUUUUUUUCGUUUGUUUUAAACUUAAUUUUUAUUUAUGAAAUGAAAAAUAAUAUUAAAACAAAUAAAAAAAGAGAAAAAACUAAAUACAACUUUCAACAACGGAUCUCUUGGCUCUC